Molecule: ribosomal RNA, 727 nt
Filed under: uncultured bacterium
Lineage: Bacteria
Description: bacterial SSU rRNA
Rfam family: Bacterial small subunit ribosomal RNA
Source: RNAcentral
UGCAAGUCGAACGAGCGAGAGAGAGCUUGCUUUCUCGAGCGAGUGGCGAACGGGUGAGUAACGCGUGAGGAACCUGCCUCAAAGAGGGGGACAACAGUUGGAAACGACUGCUAAUACCGCAUAAGCCCACAGGUCGGCAUCGACCAGAGGGAAAAGGAGCAAUCCGCUUUGAGAUGGCCUCGCGUCCGAUUAGCUAGUUGGUGAGGUAAUGGCCCACCAAGGCGACGAUCGGUAGCCGGACUGAGAGGUUGAACGGCCACAUUGGGACUGAGACACGGCCCAGACUCCUACGGGAGGCAGCAGUGGGGAAUAUUGCACAAUGGGGGAAACCCUGAUGCAGCGACGCCGCGUGGAGGAAGAAGGUCUUCGGAUUGUAAACUCCUGUUGUUGAGGAAGAUAAUGACGGUACUCAACAAGGAAGUGACGGCUAACUACGUGCCAGCAGCCGCGGUAAAACGUAGGUCACAAGCGUUGUCCGGAAUUACUGGGUGUAAAGGGAGCGCAGGCGGGAAGACAAGUUGGAAGUGAAAUCUAUGGGCUCAACCCAUAAACUGCUUUCAAAACUGUUUUUCUUGAGUAGUGCAGAGGUAGGCGGAAUUCCCGGUGUAGCGGUGGAAUGCGUAGAUAUCGGGAGGAACACCAGUGGCGAAGGCGGCCUACUGGGCACCAACUGACGCUGAGGCUCGAAAGUGUGGGUAGCAAACAGGAUUAGAUACCCUGGUAGUCC